Canis lupus familiaris (dog) is the source of this 1026-nucleotide long non-coding RNA. RefSeq lists it as uncharacterized. The transcript is spliced from 3 exons. NCBI's taxonomy places the organism in Eukaryota, Metazoa, Chordata, Mammalia, Carnivora, Canidae. The record is from RefSeq and is a predicted model, not a curated record.
UUUCCCAACCGGCCUGAGGGUGAAAUCAACUCAUAAAAGCAGGUAGAGCAUCACAGAGAGAGGUGGAGCUGGGAUCCCAACAUGCCAUACCUAGAGCCCACCCUGGAGUUUUUGUUUCUUUGCAGCUGGAAGUUAAGUUGUUUCUUUCCAGCUGGGAGUUUGGGAGAUCUAAAAACAUCCAAUAUAAAAGUAUGUGAUAAAUUAGCCUCUUCAGAAGCUUGGCUCCUAGAUCGGAGAUGAGAGUAACUCAUGGAAAAUGAGGAAACAAUCCAGUACAGUUGAGGAAUGCCUGUUUUUUACACUGUGUGGCACAGACUCUGAAUUUAAGAGAAUUUUAGAGGAAAGUUUGGUCAGCAAGAUGAGAGUCACCAUGGACCUCUUUGUGGAAGAGAUGGGGUUUGGGUCAGGUCAUAAAGAAUGAGUGAGAUUUGAGAAAAUGGGGAAUAGAGUUUCAUGUGACUGGGGAAGAUAAACGGAGAGGCUCCCAAUGAUGCCACCCAGAGUCCUGUUCUGCAGGCUGCAAGCAUCCUUCAGGAAUUGUGUGGCAUUCCCACCUGCUUGAGCCAGCAGCCUUUAAUUCCAUGUCUGGAACAGACGAUGGCUGGUGUCCGGGAUGAGAAACAUUCACCAAAAAUGGAGGUGGCGGCUGAUAAACCAUUUAUGUGUGAAGUUUUCCAGGGAGCAUUUGCACUUCAAGAGAAAAACAGAGCCUUCCAGCUCUGGAGAAGUGACAAAAGGUGGGGACAGUAUUAUGUGGCAGAGAGCUCUUCCUGUGAUUUAGCUAAAGCACCUGACUACAAUGCCAACCCUGCUCUGCAAAGGGCCCUUCCUCAUGCUGAAUGGCCACAGAUGAAGCAGACUUGUCUAUAGACACAAGGCUUCCAAGGGUCAACCACUGAGUGCAUGCCCAUCACGGGGUGGGUGAAUGUACCCUUUUACUGUUCACACCAUUCACCUUUUGUCCUAUGAGACACAGACUUCCCUAAGGCCCAGUUCACCCCAUUUUCUCCUAUCCUAAAGAUUAAA